Molecule: non-coding RNA, 94 nt
Organism: Drosophila persimilis
Lineage: Eukaryota; Metazoa; Arthropoda; Insecta; Diptera; Drosophilidae
Source: Rfam
CCUUCGAUAGCUCAGUUGGUAGAGCGGUGGACUGUAGAAAGAGUUUCCUAGUGUAGACAUCCAUAGGUCGCUGGUUCAAAUCCGGCUCGAAGGA